This 253-nucleotide ribosomal RNA is filed under the name uncultured bacterium. RNAcentral describes it as "partial 16S ribosomal RNA". It matches the Rfam family "Bacterial small subunit ribosomal RNA", at positions 524 to 776 of the family's 1533-position model. The record is from RNAcentral.
UACGUAGGGGGCAAGCGUUGUCCGGAUUUAUUGGGCGUAAAGAGCGUGUAGGCGGCCAGACAGGUCCGCUGUGAAAACUCGAGGCUCAACCUCGAGAGGUCGGUGGAAACCGUCUGGCUAGAGUCCGGAAGAGGAGAGUGGAAUUCCCGGUGUAGCGGUGAAAUGCGCAGAUAUCGGGAAGAACACCCGUGGCGAAGGCGGCUCUCUGGGACGGUACUGACGCUGAGACGCGAAAGCGUGGGGAGCGAACAGG